RNAcentral lists this ribosomal RNA (190 nucleotides) under uncultured bacterium. RNAcentral's name for it is "partial 16S ribosomal RNA". It matches the Rfam family "Bacterial small subunit ribosomal RNA", at positions 338 to 525 of the family's 1533-position model. The record is from RNAcentral.
CCUACGGGAGGCAGCAGUAAGGAAUAUUGGACAAUGGUGGCAACACUGGUCCAGCCAUGCCGCGUGCAGGAUGACGGCCCUAUGGGUCGUAAACUGCUUUUGUACGGGAAAAAACCCUCGUUCGUGAACGAGGCUGAUGGUACCGUAAGAAUAAGGAUCGGCUAACUCCGUGCCAGCAGCCGCGGUAAUA